This is a long non-coding RNA of Numida meleagris (helmeted guineafowl), 1072 nucleotides long. RefSeq lists it as uncharacterized. The record is from RefSeq and is a predicted model, not a curated record. The transcript is spliced from 3 exons. Lineage: Eukaryota; Metazoa; Chordata; Aves; Galliformes; Numididae.
GUCCCUCUUGAAUUUCCAUCAGACUCAAAGUUUCCUGUGCUGAAGGGCAGAAGGUGAAUACACUGAUAUUUUCUGCUGGAGGAGAGCCUGCAUUGCAGCAGAUCCACAGCUCCACAAUGUACACGGCCAGAGUUAUUCUGAGAGGUAGAGCAAUAACUCUAAUGCAAGACAGGAGACAUAACAAUGGAAGCCAUGGAUGUGGUACUGAUCAACAACACAAAGAUCUGAAGGGAAAAAGAGAUAAAGAGAGAGCAGGGGAGUCACUGUAAUGUUUGUGUGUAAGAAACAAGGAAAAAAAGGCACAAAUGUUCCAGGUCCUGCAGUGUCUGUGACACAGCUGGAAAUCUGCAAUUACACCUGCAUCAUCCUUACAGAUGUGAAAGGAGUUGAUCGUAUCAUUUUUCUGGUGAUCAGAAAUAAUGUCCUGCUAGCAAAGAUAAUUAUUCUUGGAACUAACCGGACCUAUUUAUGUCACCCAAGCUUACUAAUCAAGAUUUGAAAAAUACAUCUGCCUAAAGUGCUGGGACCAACAUGCUGUGGUAUGUAACCAAGCUGCCUGGCAAGAAGUCUGUCCACCCUUUUGAAAGAAAAGAAUAGGUGCUCAGAAAAGAGAAACUAGAGUAAGCUGGGGGAAAAAAAAAAAAAGAAAAAAGAAAAGGAAAAAAAAAAGAACACUAGGAAAAAAUCACACUGGAAACACUACAAGGAUUUAACUGUGAAGAUUAUUAGAGUAACUUCUUAAAGGGAACGUGAAGUCUCCAUCUCGAUAUUUUCGGAUUACGAUUUUAUGUAUUGCUGAAAGGGAUUAUUUAGAUCAGCAUAAGCUACAGUUUCCCAAGCUUUGUAUAUUUCUUCAUCACUGCUGUUCCAACGGACACCAUUCUUGCAGCCAGAGGGAUAAGUCCUGCACGAUGCUGAGCUGCCUGGUCCCAAACGAGCAGGACACUUAGCACUGCAGGCACGAGUGCUCCCAGCAAGGUUCGUUUGCACAUACCUACAACUCAGCACGUUCUAAAACCUCUUGCAGGAUCAAGGCCAAGAGAUCUCAUGCUUUGGCAAGGUUCGUUCAGUU